RNAcentral lists this ribosomal RNA (260 nucleotides) under uncultured bacterium. RNAcentral describes it as "partial 16S ribosomal RNA". It matches the Rfam family "Bacterial small subunit ribosomal RNA", at positions 524 to 776 of the family's 1533-position model. The record is from RNAcentral.
UACGAAGGGGGGCUAGCGUUGUUCGGAAUUACUGGGCGUAAAGCGUGCGCAGGCGGCUUCUCAAGUCAGGGGUGAAAGCCCAGAAGCCUCAGCUCUGGAAUUGCCUUUUGAGACUGAGUGGCUUGAGUACGAGAGAGGUGAGUGGAAUUCCCAGUGUAGAGGUGAAAAUUCGUAGAUAUCGGGGAGGAAACACCUGUGGCGAAAGCGGCUCACUGGACCACAACUGACGCUGAGGCGCGAAGCUAGGGGAGCAAAACAGG